UACAGGGGGGGCAAGCGUUGUUCGGAAUUACUGGGCGUAAAGGGUUCGUAGGUGGCUCACUAAGUCACACGUGAAAUCCCUCAGCUUAACUGGGGAACUGCGUGUGAAACUGGAGAGCUUGAGGGUAGGAGAGGAAUGCGGAAUUCCAGGUGUAGCGGUGAAAUGCGCAGAUAUCUGGAGGAACACCGGUGGCGAAGGCGGCAUCCUGGACCGACACUGACGCUGAGGAGCGAAAGCCAGGGGAGCAAACGGG
This 253-nucleotide ribosomal RNA is filed under the name uncultured bacterium. RNAcentral's name for it is "partial 16S ribosomal RNA". It matches the Rfam family "Bacterial small subunit ribosomal RNA", at positions 524 to 776 of the family's 1533-position model. The record is from RNAcentral.